Molecule: ribosomal RNA, 808 nt
Filed under: Cephalopina titillator
Lineage: Eukaryota; Metazoa; Arthropoda; Insecta; Diptera; Oestridae
Description: partial large subunit ribosomal RNA
Rfam family: Eukaryotic large subunit ribosomal RNA
Source: RNAcentral
GGGGUGGAAAAGAAACUAACAAGGAUUUUCUUAGUAGCGGCGAGCGAAAAGAAAAUAGUUCAGCACUAAGUCACUUUGUUUUUUAUAUGGACAAAUGUGAGAUGCAGUGUAUGGAAUGUUAUUUUUCUAGUAUGAGAAAUUAACGACUUAAGUCCUUCUUAAAUGAGGCCAUUUACCCAAAGAGGGUGCCAGGCCCGUAUAACGUUAAUGAUUACUAGAUGACAUUUCCAAAGAGUCGUGUUGCUUGAUAGUGCAGCACUAAGUGGGUGGUAAACUCCAUCUAAAACUAAAUAUAACCAUGAGACCGAUAGUAAACAAGUACCGUGAGGGAAAGUUGAAAAGAACUCUGAAUAGAGAGUUAAAUAGUACGUGAAACUGCUUAGAGGUUAAGCCCGAUGAACCUGAAUAUCCAUUAUGGAAAAUUCAUCAUUAUGAUUGUAAUAUGUUUUUAUAUGUAUAUUAUAUUUUAAUUAUAUAUAUGUAUAUAUAUAUGAAAAUCGAAAUAUUAUAAUAAUGAUGCGCAUUUUUUCCAUUAAAGGACAUUGUAAUCUAUUAACAUUUAUUAUUUAUCAUAAAAUCAUUUUAUGCAUAAGUUUAUUCAAGUAUUUUGAUUUUAUAUCAAUAUAAGAGAAUAAAUAUGCAUUUGAUUUGAUAAAAGUGUUGAUAGAUAUAUAUUAUAUAGUGCUUUUAAAUAUUAUAAUAUAUAUUAUAAUAACAUAUUAAAUCUAUAGAUUUUUAUGUUUAUUAUAUGCACUUAUAUGAUUAACAAUGCGAAAGAUUCAGGAUACCUUCGGGACCCGUCUUGAAC